CCUACGUGAGGCUGCAGUGGGGAAUAUUGGACAAUGGGGGGAACCCUGAUCCAGCGACGCCGCGUGAGUGAAGAAGUAUUUCGGUAUGUUAAGCUCUAUCAGCAGGGAAGAAAAUGACGGUACCUGACUAAGAAGCCCCGGCUAACUACGAGCCAGCAGCCGCGGUACUACGUCGGGAGCAAGCGUUAUCCGGAUUUACUGGGGGUAAAGGGAGCGUAGGCGGUGCAGCAAGUCUGCCGUGAAAGGUCCGGGCCCAAACCCGGGACUGCUGUUGAAACUGGUGCACUGGAGUAGAAGAGAGGUAAGCGGAAUGCGUGGUGUAGCGGUGAAAUGCGUAGAUAUUAGGAGGAACCCCAGUUGCGAAGGCAGCUUACUGGACUGUAACUGACGUUGAGGCACGAAAGCGUGGGGAGCGAACAGGAUUAGAUACCCCAGUAGUC
This 440-nucleotide ribosomal RNA is filed under the name uncultured bacterium. RNAcentral describes it as "partial 16S ribosomal RNA". It matches the Rfam family "Bacterial small subunit ribosomal RNA", at positions 338 to 795 of the family's 1533-position model. The record is from RNAcentral.